UAAACAAGAAGACUUAUCCCAUCUAGUUUGGGUCACGUAUUUUGGAAUCUUAUAAUGUCAUUGGUCCAUAUCCAAGCCAAGCUGUCUGAAAUGAUGAAGUCAUUUCUCAUAUGAAAAAUUAAACCUUAAUUUACUAAAUAUGUUUCAGCAGACUUUGCAAGCAAGGUUUGUUAGGGACUUGGAGAUAUCUAAGCAAUGGAAAAAGUACCAAAUAUAAAUGUCGAGGCUCUUAUUCUGGAUGUAUUCAUAGACAAGCAACUGCUCUUGCAUUUCCAAGCAAUAACCCAACACUCUUACAAGAUUCUUAUGGUGAAGCUGAGCAACGAAGUCCACUUCAUUUCUUAAUUGUUCCAGUCCUUGCCCUGAACUUUUUGAAAGCCUCUUACAGCUAUUUCCUGUCCAUCUGAUAAUGUUCCCUGUUAGAAAGCAUAAGAGAACUAAGUAUUUUAUCAAUUUGUAAAAGAAAAUUACAAGAUAGCACUAUACGCUGUUUAUUAUUGAAAUUAAUGAAUCUUUGUCUAAACAGCCAGUAGCUUAUACUAAUCCAUUACUACCUUAUAAACUAUGCCAAAACCACCCUCUCCAAGCUUAUUGCACUGGAGAAAUUAUUAGUGGCUUCUUUGAUUGUAGGCAAAUCAAAUAGCGGAGAACUUUCCUUGUAAUAUCAUUGAUGUCUUCCCCUAUUAGAAAAAGAAUGAGCAAGAUAAAAAAACUUCUGCCGUGUGCACAAAUCAAUAUUUAAUGAAAGAAUGUGAAGGAAAUAGUAGGAGAACUCACAGGGCAUUCUGGAUAUGAAUAUCAUUGCCCAACAAUGUUGCUGAUAAAUAUAGCAUGUUUAUAGGUGAUUUAUUCCUCACUUACAUAGACUGCAUUGGUUUUUCAAAGUAUUAUUUUACUAAAUAAAUAAAUAAUAAACAACCAAUUAUCUUGUUGAUCAUUACAUGAAACCUAGCACGGUCCCCAUUGUUUAGGUGGCCACCUGAGCACCUAGGUACCUUGGCACUUGUUGCAUACAUGGAUACUAGCUAGUGCAGCCAUCCAAGCACCUACCUGUGUAUUUGCACAUAACACUAUCUAGUUCUUGAAGGUGUACCUAAGAUGGAUGUUUAAGGUUGCACUACCUUGUACUAAUAUCUAAAUGUUUUUUAUGAUUUUUGAAAAAAUUAAAUAAUAUAAUCAUUAUCACAAAAUUUAUCUGUAUGUGAGAGUUACUACAUUUCAUACAAAUUUAGUGAAUCAUUGUGUAUUUUAACUCCAAUAACAGACCUAUGUCCUUGGUAUACCAUGAAGGACCUUAAAGGGCUUGCUGCCCAGGUUUCCCUUAUUGGUCUGACAACAUUGUGCAUCCACAGAGUCUGGCAGAUUAUUGGGUAUAGAUGCAAUAAGAGAAUCCAUUUGUAGUUAUAAGCUGAACCUAAGACUGUUUAAAUUGACACGCCAGCAAAGGCAGGCCAUAGAACCAUGCAAAUCUGAUGUCUAGUGUAAAGCACAUUCACAUGGUGAUGUGAUGAAAUAUGGCUGACCAGGAUUUAGGGCAUGUAUUAUCUCUACCUUUAAUCCAUGAUGAUGGGUUUCUUGUUCAUUAUGGUUGAUCAAAUUAUUUUCCAUCUUUCUCCAGAAUGGUGAUACAUUUUGGGAAUUCAAUCACCCAUUUACCAUCAUAGUUUAUUCUUUGGCUACUCUAUAACCAAUGACAAGAAUUUGAGAAUGUCUGUUGGCUACAUACCGUUUCUUUUCUUUAUAGCCUUCUGUCUCCACAAGCAAAUGCAAGCAAAGCAUGCUAUUAUGAGUAUGACUACCACAAGGGCGAAAACAAUAAUGCGACUUCUUGCUACGUUCUUUUCAUGUCCUGCACCAAGUGAAAAUUUCAUGUAUAGCUGCCCUUUUGGUUAUCAUUUGAAUAUUUGGUUAAGAGAUGUUAAAGGCUAUAAUUACCAAACACGAAUGUGCAAGUCUACUUUCCUCAAUGUUGUAAAAUAGAUUGCAUGACUCAGAUGACAUAAAUAAUAUGAUUGAAACAUAAAUAAUAUGUUUGUCCACACAAAUGUGCCUGUGAGCGCAAACAGAAAUACUUUAUAGGUUAUAUAAUCUAUUCUUUAGUUUUAAGAUUCUUAAUCAUAAGAGUUUCUUAUUUUGUCUAAAAGAACCUCUUUCCACGGACUGGAGCUUUUUUUUUUUUGAACCUAAAUUGCAGGUUGUGAUAGCUUCUUGGUACUUAUCUUGGUCUUCGCAUUGCUGUUGAACUUUCAUUUCUCUGCAGGAAUGACUGGGUUCCUCCAUUGAGACAUUGACAGAGACUCACAUCUGGAAAGAUAAACUCCUCUCUUUCAGAGAGAUAGAAGAUUAAACAAGACCAACGAAGGAGGCGGCAAAAAUCAAACACGAUAUAUUUUCUAACCUUUCUAACAUUGCCUGGCAAAAC
This is a non-coding RNA of Phoenix dactylifera (date palm), 2422 nucleotides long. Lineage: Eukaryota; Viridiplantae; Streptophyta; Magnoliopsida; Arecales; Arecaceae. The record is from RefSeq and is a predicted model, not a curated record.